This 261-nucleotide ribosomal RNA is filed under the name uncultured bacterium. Its description in RNAcentral is "partial 16S ribosomal RNA". It matches the Rfam family "Bacterial small subunit ribosomal RNA", at positions 1231 to 1500 of the family's 1533-position model. The record is from RNAcentral.
UGGCAGGUACAGAGGGAUGCUACCGGGCGACCGGAUGCGGAUCUCGAAAGCCUGUCCCAGUUCGGACUGGAGUCUGCAACCCGACUCCACGAAGUUGGAUUCGCUAGUAAUCGCGCAUCAGCCAUGGCGCGGUGAAUACGUUCCCGGGCCUUGUACACACCGCCCGUCAAGCCAUGGGAGCCGGGGGCGCCUGAAGUCCGGGACCGCGAGGACCGGCCUAGGGCGAAACUGGUAACUGGGGCUAAGUCGUAACAAGGUACC